UCCUUGGUGGCACAAAGGGUUAAGCGGUUGGCUACCAACCAAAAGGUUGGUGGUUCGAAUCCAUCUAGAGGUG
This 73-nucleotide transfer RNA is filed under the name Loxodonta africana (African savanna elephant). It matches the Rfam family "tRNA". From Rfam's summary of the family: Transfer RNA (tRNA) molecules are approximately 80 nucleotides in length. The record is from Rfam by way of RNAcentral. Lineage: Eukaryota; Metazoa; Chordata; Mammalia; Proboscidea; Elephantidae.